Molecule: ribosomal RNA, 512 nt
Filed under: uncultured bacterium
Lineage: Bacteria
Description: partial 16S ribosomal RNA
Rfam family: Bacterial small subunit ribosomal RNA
Source: RNAcentral
GACGAACGCUGGCGGCGUGCCUAAUACAUGCAAGUCGAGCGGAACUGGGGGAGCUUGCUCCUUCCAGUUUAGCGGCGGACGGGUGAGUAACACGUGGGCAACCUGCCCUGCAGAUCGGGAUAACUCCGGGAAACCGGUGCUAAUACCGAAUAGUUUGGCGCCUCUCCUGAGGCGCUACGGAAAGACGGUUUCGGCUGUCACUGCAGGCUGGGCCCGCGACGCAUUAGCUAGUUGGUGGGGUAACGGCCCACCAAGGCGACGAUGCGUAGCCGACCUGAGAGGGUGACCGGCCACACUGGGACUGAGACACGGCCCAGACUCCUACGGGAGGCAGCAGUAGGGAAUCUUCCGCAAUGGACGCAAGUCUGACGGAGCAACGCCGCGUGAGUGACGAAGGUUUUCGGAUCGUAAAACUCUGUUGUGAGGGAAGAACACGUACCAACUAACUAUUGGUACCUUGACGGUACCUCGCCAGAAAGCCACGGCUAACUACGUGCCAGCCGCCGCCGUAA